GAUGAACGCUGGCGGCGUGCUUAAUACAUGUAAGUCGAACGAGGAGUUUUGCUUCGGUAAAUCUCCGAGUGGCGAACGGGUGAGUAACGCGUUGGUGACCUGCCCCGAAGAGGGGGAUAACGGCUCGAAAGGGCUGCUAAUACCCCAUGUGGUCGUAGAGGCUAGAGGCUUUACGUCUAAAGGAGUAAUCCACUUCGGGAUGGGCCUGCGUCCCAUCAGCUAGUUGGUAGGGUAAUGGCCUACCAAGGCGACGACGGGUAGGGGGCCUCAGAGGGUGACCCCCCACAUUGGCACUGAAACACGGGCCAAACACCUACGGGAGGCAG
RNAcentral lists this ribosomal RNA (326 nucleotides) under uncultured Chloroflexota bacterium. RNAcentral's name for it is "bacterial SSU rRNA". It matches the Rfam family "Bacterial small subunit ribosomal RNA", at positions 28 to 351 of the family's 1533-position model. Lineage: Bacteria; Bacillati; Chloroflexota. The record is from RNAcentral.